CAUAUCUUUGAAGUGUCUGUAUUUGAGAACUUCAGCUUCUGCUAAUCACAGUUUUCCUUUUAUCAGGAGUGAACUGAAUACAGUAGACAUGCUGAGAGGCGUCGGUUGACCAAGUCGCUGAGAAUUCUACACCGCCAUUCAGGCUCUGAAUCCUACCGUAACCACUAACCGUCUACAGGACUUCAUUCACAAGUAAGAAUGCCUUGCCCUGCAUGGCAAGCCUGGUCUGAGAGUACAGAGGAAUAUUAAGGAAUUUCUCAGACAGGACUGGGAUAUAUUUGGAAAGCAGAGAGCACAACGUUCUGGUUGGGGAGAGAGCACACUUUGGAGAGGAUCUCCUCGACCUAAUCAGGGACCUGUUGGUACCCUCAGCAUCAGCGUGACAGCUCUCCACAGCGCCUCUGACCUCAUUCAUCAGGUGCUGAAGAACUGUUUCCAGAAAAUGAAAACUGAUUGCAACAUUGCACCAGCAUAAAGCUCAUUCAAUAAAAAUAAAAGGGGACUUGGAGAGUGAAGAUUCGGAGAAAUCAUAGAUAAAUAUAUAUUUUUAGGUAUUCCAUGUUUAUCCUCCUACCAGAACAAGUGAGUUAAUGUAAAGCAAACAGCCAGUGUCAGUUAAGAGAAGAAGCUAUUAGGAAAGUAAGAAUAUGUUCAGUGUUUACCAUAGAAAGGAGUGAAUCUAUUACUUCGGAAUGAAACAGAAGCAUAAUUUGUUCUUAUUAAACUGUUCUCCGAAGAUGCGCUUCUGUUUACAAAACCACACCGAGGCAAAGUGUUUUCUUUUCAUCCUUGAAACCUCUUCGACAGCAAUCUGUUGACACACAAGGGCAUCAGGGGCUUAUAUCAGAACAUGAUUUGCUUAUGUGGGAUAUCACCUGCAUUAAAACAGUGCUCAGAGUUGAGCCCCAAGAUGUCUCUAUUAAAAUGUGAAGCCUAGUCCUAUGUGUUUCUGUGAAUCAAAGAAUAAAUACGAAGCUUAAAAUCUCUGAGUUAAAAAUGAAGAUGUUGGGGGGCUGGAGAGAUGGCUCAGCAGUUAAGAACACCCGACUGUUCUUCCAGAGGUCAUGAGUUCAAUUCCCAGCAACCACAUGGUGGCUCACAACCAUCUGUAAAGAGAUCCGAUGCCCUCUUCUGGUGUGUCUGAAGACAGCUACAGUG
RNAcentral lists this long non-coding RNA (1158 nucleotides) under Rattus norvegicus (Norway rat). RNAcentral's name for it is "long non-coding RNA NONRATT031459". Lineage: Eukaryota; Metazoa; Chordata; Mammalia; Rodentia; Muridae. The record is from RNAcentral.